Molecule: non-coding RNA, 38 nt
Filed under: Alexandrium minutum
Lineage: Eukaryota; Dinophyceae; Gonyaulacales; Pyrocystaceae
Source: RNAcentral
UUUUUUUUUUUUUUUUUUUUUUUUUUUUUUUUUUUCUC